GUGAGUCGGCACGAAGCCCCCAAGAACGUUUCGCUGGUGUUUGUUCCGCGUUACGACAGGCUUCCUUCGUGCUGCAAGAAACGCGAUUGGACAGAAAACUCAACUCUCGGCAAGAGCGGCGCUCGUGCGAGAAGGGACACCGCCAGCUGUCCUUUCAGCCCAAUCCAAUGGGCAAACGCAGCGGGUGGAGCUGCGGGCGGUUGUUUCCGCCGUGCCCACCGCUGGAGGGGCGUGCUGCAGUGCGGCUCGCGGCCGCUAGGGGGCGCCCGACCGCCGCGGAGCUCGCGUGGUGCGCAGCAGGAGUUACGCAUGCGUGGAGAAGAAAGGAGAUGUGAGCAGGGCAGGCAUGCAGCCUUUGGAGAACUGCCAGUUGCUGCCAUGGAGAAUGAAGAGGGCACGUUACCCUCUGGGGCUGAGCCUCCCCUGGGCUCAUGCCUUGGUUUGGGAUGCCCCUCGGUGCAAGGCUUGAGGUGCUGAGCGAGUGCCAGCGAACAGAACAGGGAGCUGCAGUGGGACAGAGACGAGAGCAUUUGCUUGGAAGCGUUCUGCUGCUUUCCUGCCAGGUGUUUCUAAGAGCAUCCCCUGAACUGCCUGCAUUCCUGCUGCAGAUUAGAAGCACGUGGAGAUGGAGGAUAAAAGGGGCGUUAGCAAUUAGCUCUGGUGAUGCCUUCAGCUGCUGAAAAAGUUGCACUAGCGAAGAACUAUUAAUUGAAAUCCCCGGUUCAUACAGAGCUGUCAGUAAUGAAUGCAUAAUGGAGAAAGUCCAUUUAAUUUUUAAUUAUCACCGUCUCCCUCCAAACAAAUACAACGCGUUAAAUCUUCCUGUCACCUUCAGCCACGCAAAGGAUGUUUGAUGGAAGUCUUCAUUAACCCCAGGUCUGCUCAGGGCAUCCUGCCAGGCCAUUAGCUAGUUAGUUACAAUAGCAAUGACUGGCACUUGGCAUGAGAAAGCCCGGGUGGCCCUCGCCAGGUCCAGAACGUGGCAGGAAUUAACUCUGUGUGAUCAUUGCAGGAGGAGGCUGAAAUCCCUUGGCUGAGCUUUCUGAGCUGGCGGGGUCUGGAGCACAUCGUGCAUCUGAUUGGGGGCUGUGGGAGCUCAAGGAGACCCCGUUAAGUCUCAGUUCCCAGCUGAAAUCCUGGUUGGUUUGGGGGCCCCUUCCAAACAUGACCUCCGGGGGACUCCUGGCAGGUCUGCCAAAGCAGCAGCACAGUCUGUCUUCCAUAGAUUGAGGAGUAUGGAUGUGUUUAUGCUCCAGUCUGAGCAGCGGGACGUGCACUGAAUGAAGUACUUAAGUCCUGAAGGAGAGUACUGACACAGUGGCCUGAAUUCCAGCCUGUGCUAUGGGGUUUGGAUGUGGAGCAUAUUUAAUGACCCUAUUUAGGAUUUGACCAAGGAUCUACUGGAAGCCAGCUUGAGAAGAAACUGCCAUGGGCUUUUGGUGAACCAUAGCUGGCCUGGGAUUCCCAUUUCAGCUAAAAGCACAAGGCCUGUUCUUGGUCGGGUUAAUCCAGGUGGAAUCAUCUUGCUAAUGACCAGUGCUGUCGGAGGCUGCAUUCUGCUUUACAGGUGAUUUAAAUCAGAACCGAUUCUCCCAGAUUUGGAUGAAGUUAACAAUGUGAAGCUGAUGGAAGCUGGGUGAAAAAUCAGACCACGAUUAUCCGCUGAAAGCAUGAAUAGAUGCAAGCAAGCAGCUCUGACUUCCCGGGGGCAUUGGCUCAUGGGGAGCUGCUGGAACGUCGUGCUUGGGAAGGGUCUGAGGUGAGGGUUUACAGCUCUAAAAAGUCACCUUUCAACACCUGUCCCAGACGUGUCCUUACAUUUACUAUUUCUGGCAUCUCACUCUCAAAUGAGUUUGCCUACAGACAGCCUUCUGGGGAUUCAAUUAAACUCUCAAAUAAAAUAAACGCUAUCCCUUAGUAAGGGCUUGAAUGCUAAGCAGAGCCAUUAUUUGAACGAAAACGGGGCUGUAAGUUUCAGUGUUGUGUCCUCUGUUUUCAUCAGCUGGGGGUCAGAAACAAGUGAAGAUGGGAAAGCCCUGUUCAUUAACUCAGUACAUCCACCCUCAGAGCUUCUCUGCUGCUUUGAAGUGAGCAAAACACCUAUAAGCAUUUUGUUUGGCAGCACUCCUGCAAGUCAGUGACUCAGGGUGAAGUCACUGCAACAGCUCCUGUUCUUUCUCAGCUGAUAAACCCCCUGGAUAUGUAUUGCAUGGGCAGUGCAGUGACUCUGAGCCCUGGGCUCUGGUGUCAUUUACCUGUUGAGUGACCUGGGGCAAGUUCACAUCUUUGUUGUUGUCUAAUUCCAGUACUUGCUUGGUGUGAAGUGAUCUACAGGUCAUCCUGUGGAUGAAGUCUCAGUUCUUAGAAUCUUUAGUCCAGACUUGUUUAUUUUGGCCAUGGAGAAGGGCAUGCCUGGGCAUGUACGGAAAUUGGGUGAGCUGCUGCCACAGGGAAUUGUGGCCAGUCUGCAAUGGAGGAAUGUGGCCAGUGGAAGGAUCCCAAAAUUGAGAUCUCACACCAGAAACGUUUGGCGCACCAGGUCCAGAUCUUGGGCAAGAUGUUCCCUGAGAUGUGUUUGACAAUUGCAGUGCAGCUGCAGCUUAUGUGAAGUUUCUUUUGAACCUUAUCAUAAAUUCCAAUCUGCUGCAAUUUCUGGUUGAUUCCAUCUCACCUGAAGCUUGCUUUGCAGCUGAUCUGCAGGCACCAAUACAGGCCAGAAACAGUGGCCACUCUUUGAAGGCUGCUGGCAGCGUAAGCUGGAGUGCAGGAGUCAUCCUUCUGCUCUGCAGAGCACUGGGAGACUUCAGCUCUUGUUUGGGGCACUGAACUCUGAGAGUGAUGGAAUCCAAUUAACAGAGAAAACUGCAGAGAAGACUGAUGAAAUGAUCAAGAGGUCUGGAAAACUGUGGCCAACAGAGUAGAGGGAAAUAAUUGGAUUGUGUAGCUUAAAGAGAAAACUAAGUGAUAAUAAUCUGAGUGGAUAAAAGGUGGCUGCAGGAAGGGAGUGGUGCCUUCUUCACAUCUCCUGCAGCUAAGAAAUAGCAGGUGCAGUUUGCAACGAGGAAGAUCCAAAUUAAGUAUAAGGCAAACCUUUUCCAUGGCUUUUAUUGCCUCUUCCAGCAAAGGCAAAGGAAUGAAGACUUCAGGUUAAACAAACGUGUAGCAGGAAUGAUGUCCAGAGCUCCCGCUCCCAUGAAACAGGAGGCUUAACUCCAUAAAUAACACAGAUCGUUUCUCUUUUUCAGUGAUCCUAAGUACACAGGGGCUUAUUGAAACCCAGACAUAGCUGGCCAUCCACAUGCAUGCGCUUUGUUCUCUUCCAAAUACUUGCAUACAAAUGAUGCUAGAAGAUAGCAGACCUUCGUGAGGUCUCCCUGUCAGGUCCUCCAAGGUGAUUUGACCUCCUUAAUUUGAGCUCUUCUUGUAAUUAGCACAGCUGUGCUGUUCUUAAGGUUUUGGCACCGUGCAGCCAAUUGCAGUCUUAGCAGCUCUCUUAUUGUUAAGAUGCUAUUUUUUUAUUUAUAUCUCUUCGUCUAAGAGAAGCUAUGAUAAAAAGCUGCAGAGAUUUUUAAGCCGGCUUUGCUGCUUGUUGCAGCUGCACGCAGCCUGGGGUGCACCCAUUGCUCUGCGUGACAGCUGGAUGGGAACUGUUGAAUCAGGGCCUCAACCUCUGAUUGACCACCUGAGCAAGCACUGAGUCAGGCACGGAGCACAGGUGAAGGCAAUCCACCUGUGAUUGGAAGGGCUGGAGCCAGGCUGCACCUCUCCUAGACCCCAUUUAAGGGCUGACUGCUGUUGAGGAAGGAUCUGUUCCUUGUGAUUGAUCCUCGUGGAGUUUUUGUGAGCCUACGAUGCUGGUGGAUUGAUGAGCUCCUGAGCCAGCCAAAGACAUCCCAGGUCUGAGGCGAGCAAGGCAAGAGCUCCAUCCCUGUUGUGUCAGGCCAGAUGGAAGCAGUACUGGGCCAACACUUGCCAUGAAGUAAGAAUUUGUUUCUUUCUUGAUGCCAAGGAACAAUGAUACUAAAUGGAAGGAGGGGAAGAAAAGAGCACACACCUACAAACUGAAAGAGGAGCGGUUAGCUACCUUCUUGCAUGUGCUGGCUCUCUUUGAACACCUCCAUCACCACCUAAGGGAGAAUGUGGAGAGGUGCUUUGUCCACUGCAAUCUGUUCCUGGAUGGGACGACACUUGAAUGACUGGAGCAUGCCGGAGCCAGGUGAAUGAUGCCCAGGGCUUCCCAGGCUUGGAGCUGUUGCCAGCUGUUGGGUUGCUGCUCUUGGAUCCCUGUACCUGCACCUGCCUGGUUGCUGCUGGGAGGAGAUGUGCCUUGCUCAGAGAGCAGGUGAUGGCAGCUCAAGGCAAAGUACAACAGCGUAGAACCAACAAAAAAUGAGCAGGUUGAGACCUAUGUUGUGCAGGCAGGAUGCAGGAGGAGGCCAUCUGUGGGAGCAGUGGGACACGUGUCAUCCCAGCAAGGCAGCAAGACAGAAUCUUCUUCCUGCAAAACCCAGCAAACACCAGCGUAGAGAAAGGAAACCUCAGUCUUGAAGCAGAAGAUAAGGAGCAGAAUGACCUUGCAUCUUCCAUCCAUACACCUGAGGUUAACAGUCGAGGAACCUGAGGCCAGGUGGGAUGAGAGCGCACAGGGUUGGUGCCCGUGGCACUGCUGGACUCGGAGCUGCAGAACCACCAUGUCCUCUCUCCUUAUCAUCCUCCACAUGCUCCUUUUUGGGUAUUUUGCAGCACUUUGAGGCUGGGAGAAGUGGUGCAGCAGCAAUGACAACCAGGACAUUGUCCCCUUGGGACAUGCAUUGAGCGAGACCCGGCUGCCUGCCUUAGCCCUUGAAAGGAAGGGGUGAAGGAAAAUGGGAAAAGGAGAAGGUGGGAAGGAGAACGAGAGAGAAAAAUGAAUUGCUUAAAACUUCUAUUACUCUUCAUUACCUUCUGCUUUAUAAAUUCGAAGUCAAACCUGGGGGCUCCAGACCCCGAAAGAAUGGAAGGGAAACGUUCCCUGCCUGCCCCGCCAACCAGCUCGUUAAACUCCAGCCCUCCUGCUGCUCUCCAGUGAUUUAUGGAGAAUCAAAGCCAAAGCCCCACUUGUCUGUAGAUGGGAUGCUUGGAUUCGAGGUGUUGUUUCAAAGAAAAGUGAUGGAUCAGAACCUGGAGACCAGGUCCAGCCCAGUCCCCAGCAGCAGCCCUGACCUCUUCUCCACCACCUCCAUCCUCUGCAGGUCCCUCAACCUACUCAGCACCUUAUUUUGAAGGGAAGGAGGCUCUUAUCUGACCCGCGCUUCACAUUUCAAGGCCGCCACGAGCCUUGGGCUCAUAUUUUUCACACGUCCUAAAACAUCAUCCCUCCCCCGGCACAAACGUGCAUACAUUCCUUAUGGUCUGCUUCCCCUCAGGGCCCCACAGGCCUGAAGAGAUGAUAAAAUUUCUGUAAAGUAGGUGUUUGAGGCAUUUCCUAGCAGUUCGUGACCCCGCUGAAACCCCUGCGAGGAACGCAGUAGGAUGCUUCACAUAACUCUGAAAAAGGAUGUUUUGGAGCUAAUUGCUUCCAAACCAUCCAAGUGAUGAGAAAUCCAGUGCUACCAGCAGCUCAUUUCCUUUGCUGUUUAAAUACAACACCCUGCUCUGGGCUGGGCUGUCCUGGCCCAGGAUCUGGGCACUGCUGCUCACACUGCUCCUGCUGUGCCGUGAAGCUCUCGGUAGGACCAUGUCUCCUCCCCGCAGGUGUAAGGAUGCCAUCAGCCAGCUAUUACCAACUCUUGGCCAAAUUAAGGAGAUCAUGCUCCUUGACUUGACCUCUGAAAUGUGCGAUUUCCCAUUCAUUAGUCUUUUUCUGACUCUUCCUUGAACCUUCCCCCCCACCCUCCAAUAUUUCCAUGUCCAUUUUGAAGCACAGAGGCAUCACAGCCUUCCAGUGCAAAACUGUUCGCAGGCAUUGCUUGAUGACCUCCAUCUCCACAGAGCUCUCCUGAGUCACCAGUUACCCAUUCUCCAGCCUUCUAAGGGCUAGAUGGGAAUCCCUCACCCAACUUUCAGCUGGCCUGUGUUAAAUGUGAUGAAUGGGCUGACAUUUGACCAUAUAAAAAUACCAUGUUUACUUGACCCAGGGCUGCCAAGCAAGCCUGAGGCUCCACAUCAUUAGCUGGGGCUCUGCAAGAGUCACUUCUCUUCCCCUUUCUUUGUGUCCCUUUGAAAAUUUUUCAAUGAGGAUUUAAUGGAUUCUUCUCCUUUUCUUCCCCGAACCAUUGCUGGAGACAUUACAUGGGACAGGGUCAGGACCAGCCAUUUUGGGUCUCCUCAAGAAACAAGGCUGUUUGAUAUCAGUUCUUUCAGGACUCCGUUUAGAAAGCUAAUUAAAAACGCCAGCCAUUUAAUGUGCACAAUGUUGAUUUUGGAUGGCUCCUCUUCAUCCAUUACAACAGCCCGUGAUGCAAAGCCAAGCACUUUUUAGAAGUUUGACCAGUUUAGGAAUAAGCGUAAGGCCAGUGACAGCUGGCCUCCAGGAGACAGAUGGGCUCUGAGAGCAGGAGGAAUUACUGCGGCCAGGAGUCCAACCUCCUGAGUGACACAGGCUAUAAAAUGGCAUCCAUUAGGCUCCUUUGAAAAUCCCAAUGAUAAAUCUUCCUGGUCCAAUCCUUUCCCUCCACAGCUCCCCUGGAAGAAGUAAGGUUGCUCAGGGUGCUCAAUAGGAUGCUGGUAGGGCCAGCCUGGCUCUGGCCGUAUUCAGAUCUCUCCUACUGGUGCAGCAAACUCCCAAAAGCAUUCAUAGUUUCCAUGCUGCUAAUUUUAGGGCUUUGCUUUCCAGCACCCACAGACUUGGAGACACAGCCUGCUGCCUCGCUGCAGCUUACAUGUUUUCUAAUGGCCCCAACCCAGAGAUUUACACUAAGCCAACUCAUUUUGAAACCCUUCCAUAAAAAUGCCUUCUGCAAACAGAUUUGUUUCAUUAUCGUUGAGCUCGAAAGUGCCUGAAGUAACAAACAACUUCAAACUCCUUCAAAUUUAUCCUGGCACCGGGCUUGCACUUCAUUUAGAUGCUAUGUACCUGGGUGCGUGCCCUGUGGGGGACAGGCAGGAGAGGGACGGAUGGAGCUCUGUGCAAUGUAUCAGUGAUUAUGGUGCAAUAAAUAUUGGAUGGAGGAUCUAUGAUAACAUCUAUUACAGCUUUAUGAAAUAUUGAUAGCGUCUGAAUACAUAUUGCCUCCUGAACAGCUCGUUCCGGAGAUGUUUAAUGAAAGACAUCUGUCGUUUUAUCCUUGAAUCUACAUGGAGGCAAAAUUUAGUCUCCAUCCCCACUGUAAUCUCCGUGAGGCUUUCCAGAUCUGCGAGGAAGUGGCAUGAAAUGCUCAGGCUCACCUAUAUGGAUGGGUCUGUUUUAUGCACACACAGUCUUCCAUUUUGGGAAGAAGUUAAUGUUGUGCCUUUCUAGAAACAACCUCUUUGCAGACAGCUGGCUUUAGCAGGACCAACUUAAGGCUGCCAUGGCCAAACAGUGGGAGCAAAUGGGGCUCCCAGGAAAACCAGCUCAUCCGUCAGGCAUUCAUCCCUGGCUGUGCACGUAACCCUGCACACAGCACACACCCUGCGUGAACCCAACGCGCUGAUCCCUGACACAUGUUCACCCCAGAUGCCCAAUGUAAUCCCAAAUUAAAGACAUAUGGUGUUACUUCUCACCUCACAAGGUCUCCCCAGGCGUGCACAUGCAUGCAUACACACCAGCCCUCCACACCACUGAUCAUUUCAGUCUUUAUUCACUUUCCUCCUAACACCGCAAAGCCCACCCUGCUCAGGUCCUCCCAGCAUAGGAAACUGAAGCACGUGAUCUCCAGACAGAAGGAGCUAUCGCCUCCUUCACAUCCAAACCCAGAUUUACCAUCAUCCACCACCAUCUGGAGCAGCAGCUCUCGGCUCACAUGCUGUGCUUUGUCCCCAUCUGGCCUCACCAAGGGCAGUGUUCACCUCCAGGACCCAUUUGCUUGCUCUGUGGAUGGAAACACGUUUCUGCCUUUCUUUCCCACAGCCUCAGGUGAUGGGAAAGCCCUCCCAGGCUUGAGCCAACAUCUUAGAAUCGUGAAAUCAUUUGGGUUUGGAAAAGACCUUCAAGAUCACCGAGUCCAACCACCAACUUGCCCAAGGCCAUGGCCAACCCCUUGCGGUAAAGUGGCACAACAAAAUCUUUCUGGUUACCAGGCAUCACGUGGCUUCGUUCUCACACUGAUAAUUCUAAUUAUUCACAGCUCUGCACUGCUAAAGAAGACAGAGAAGGUAGGGGCAUCAACACACAGCCUCUCCUCUCCCCUGGGCAGAGCCUGCAAAGCUGAUCUGAGCCCACGUAAACCCCAGGCUGUAUCUGCAGGCCGCCUCCACAGACCUGCCUCUCACCCUGGCCCUGCUCCCACGCACUCACCUCGCAUAAAGCCACGCACCUGUGGUCUGAACUAGAAAGGAUGAACUUUUCCAGCCUGAGGGCUGACAAGCUGAGCCUCCUCAAUUGCCUCAGCAAGAAUGAGAAUCUCAGCAUCACCUUAUUUCCCAGUUUCACUGUGCUCAUAAAAUGCUUCUGCUGAACCAUGGGGCAUUCAAGACAACAUAAGAAAGAGAAAGCAGAAAUGACUGUGAGACCUCAGACGCAUGUUUUCUGCAGAUCAAUAGCCGCUUACUAGCAACACUUCCCCGGGAACAUCUUCCCCUCCUAUGAACUAUGUCUGAUCCACCCAGCCCAGCCACGGAGGAGUAAUCCAACACCACCACCCCCAUUUGUUACCACUUAGGAGAGUCUACUGUACUCGCAACAACAACACGUGGCCCUCCUCUGCUCUGAAUUAAUGAUGGGUGCGAUUGUGUUUCCUCUCUCAGCAGGAGGAAAACCAGCACCCGAGCCAGCCCUGUGCUCCAUGCAUCUCCUUCACCAGGCCUGGGGAGAAGCACGGAGCUCACUCCAUGCUGGAACGAAUUGCAGCCUGGAGCAGGUCUUAAAGAAAGGCAUGCAGGUAUGAACAUACUGCAGGUGAUGGGUGAUAAUCCGCUUUUGUUGGUUUUUUUUUCUGGUCUCAUUUCUUAGACUAAAAUGGGUCUUUAGCAAGAGCUCAGCUUAGCUUUAUAAGCUUAGCUUCUUAAGAAAUUGGCUUGAUUUUAUCACUGUUAUUUUAUGAAAAUGAGAGUCAGAUUUUGCCUAUUCCGGUAAAUUAUACCACUUUCUAGCCAAGGUUUGAGAACAAUUUUGCAAAUACCUUGAAAGCCCUUGUGCGGACAGUUCUUACCUAGCAGGGUUAUUAAACACCAUCUUCAGCUAAAUCAAUGUGGAUUCAAGUAGUACAGGAAAGAGACAAACUCGCUCCCCGCUGUUUAUCCUCUCCCUCAGUGAUUUCUGCAGCCCCAGAUUGGAGUAAUGCUCUCCGGGCUCUCAGCUCACCCAUCUCCAGCAGGGGUGAAGGCACACGGAUGUUCAACCUGCCACACACUGCUGGUUGGAGCUGCCCCUUCUCCACCCCCAAGGGAUCAUCCCCAGGCUCAGCCCAUCCCUCCCCUACAGCAGCAAACAAACAACCCUUUGUCCUUUCCCAUCCACCUUCCUUUCCAUCCCAGCAACAUAUUUCUUUCUACCUCCCUCCGUCAACCCUAUUUCAAUGGCAUUUCCCUUCCUGCUGCCAAAUGGAUGCUUAGGAGCGUGGAGACAGUAAAACAUUGCGCUAAUGUCCCUUGCUGAUGCAUAGACUCCUCCCAUUAUUGGUACAGCAGCAUCAGGUUAUACACCGUUAAUAGCCUUUCCUCUUGUUUAUAGCCUUGCUGGCACCAUUCCUGGAUGUAGCACCGCUGCUUUCCCCCCCAGCUGUGGGCUCACGUGGCACGCGUGCGAUGUGCAGCUCAGCACAUGGCGGGGGGCACCUCCAGCAACCAGCAUGGCACAAACACACAGCAGCAAAGCCAGCCAAGCUCAUCUCAGACUGGGCAGGGGUUGGGGAGGAGAUUAUUUAUUGAUUUAUUUUUUUAUUUAUUUUUGCAAAGUGAGUGAAUAAUUCAUAGGCGAACCAUUGACAUGAUAAAUUCCUCCACUUCUUCCCUUUAGCGAGUUGGCUGCGAACAACUUUCCAAUUCUGCUCCUCUGCGUUUUCAUUAUCCAGAAUUAUUCACUAAACAAUUGCUUGGAAUCAUUCUAGGAAGCAAUGCCUCUGCUGGGGGCAGCGACGCCUACAACGGCAAUGAGCCUUCCAGCACCAGGGUCUGCCCAACUGGGGCAGAGCACCGAGCUGUGCAGCCCGGUUUUCUCUGCCAUUAGAUGAGCAGAGUUCUGCAAAUCAGGUUUCCGCCGCAAGUGCUCAUGUUUACAAAUCAGCAGGAGCUGAAACUGCUGAGAUGCAGUGCUGGGUGGCACUGGUGCUUCCAGCAGCACUUCUGCCAACACACUCCAUCUCCGGUCCCACGGGACAAGUGGCACAAAGUCUCUCCGUUUCCAUUUCAGCUGCUGCAAACAAGCUCUGCCCUUCACAGAGCACUGCUGGCAGUGCACACAGACUCAGAACCCACUGCUGGGCUCCCAGCUCCACGCACUGCCUUUGAUAUUCAUGGGAGGCAAAAGAAAACAACCGAUGGUUUGCUUUUUAAUUUCAUGGGAAAUUUUGGAGGUGGUUUCUGCUCCAUGCUGCACUUCAUUUGCUCAUUCACAAGCUGACCCAAACCCCCUUAUGAACAACCGAAUGUCUUCAGCACACACAGCUCUGACUCCAAGUCCUUGAUAUUUAUCUGCCUGUGGUUUCCAAUACCUGAAACCUGGCUGACCCAACACAGUGAAUUUGGAGGAAGCUCGCCAGCUGAUGACUCCGACUGCCCGACAGGAAUCGUCUGGGGUGUAUUUUCUGGAUAUUUUAUUGCAGAUGAGACACCUGACACCAUGAGGUCAUAAGCAAUUUCCAGCUCUCUCCAAAUCACCCGGACGGUUCCAACCCCAAAGCCAACAACAUCAUCCAUGGUGCUGGAAAACUUUCCGUGCUGAUUGUCGGUCAUUUGCCACUUGUAACUCAGAGGGAGGGAACUGCUUCCCCCCCCCUUUGCCUUCUCAGGGAAAUCAGCCUGUGUUCUGCAGGCCAACCAGGCUGUAAAACCCACAGAUCGAGGGCUCUGCCUCUCUAUUUAUUGAGAAUCUUUAGUCCAGUGGCAAAACGACAGCGCUGUACCUGCAGUUCCAUCCUAGGUGGGCAGGAUAUUAACUUCUUUGGUCAUUGCUCUGAUUCAGCAUCUGCUUUCCCCGCAUCGCAUCCCUGCGUUUGGAUUUAGAUUAAUUCCUGUCACCAUCCCAGACGUGCACGUUUACGGAGCUGACAAACUAAUUUGCCAUAAGUGACAACGACCUGAUUUCUGCAAAAGUCAGAAUGCUGCCAAGCCCUCCAUUUAAACGUGCACAGACACGAAUUUCACACUGAGGAAACACAAUUGCACACAGACAAGCAGAAAUAAAGAGCUCCUGUGCAGGGAAACCUGCAGAUGUUUCCCUCCUUACAUCACUCCUGUGGUGCCCUGCUCCCACCCACCCACCUUGCAGCACUGUUGGCAGCCUGCAGCAUCUCCCCUUUACAUGCAAGGCUCCCCAUCUGCUUCCAUACCAAAAGCAAGCAGAGAGAUAUGGUGUGCUCAGACCCCAUAGCCUGCUCAGCAAAGGAUCAGGACAUAUCCGUGGGUCUGUGGGUACAAACUCAUUCCCCUGAAGAGAUGCAUCCCUGAUCUGCAGAAUAACACAUCUCUGGGACAGUGCAGCUUUCAUAGAAUCAUGAAGGAUGGAAAAGACCUCUCAGGUCACCAGGUCCAACCCCAACCCAUCCCACCAUGCCCACUAACCACGUCCCUCAGUGCCACCCCUCCAUGGUUACUGACCACCCCCAUGGAUGGUGACCCCACCACUCCCAGGGCAGCCUAUGCCAAUGCAUCACAGCUCUUUUGGAGAAGAUUUUUUUCCUAUUGCAGAAUUUGAGGCCGUUGCUGCAUUUCACUGCAUCCUGGAAAAUCCCAAAUCCAGUAAUGUCCUCCAGCCAUGCCAUUUGCCAUCAAUAAAUGGUAGUCCCAAUCCCCAGCACAGCCUGCUGCUUGUCUUAACCCAGAGCUGGGACAUAAUCUGGGAGCCAGUUUCUGCCUGGAAAAGUGAAGGUGGUUGAUGCAGAGGUGAUUGUUCCAUUCAUUUGGGGAUUUUUAACUGUGAGAACGAUGGCUCUGCCCUGAUGCCUCCAUUUCCCCAUUUGGGGCAGCUGAGCUGAGGGCUGAGCACCCAAUAAGCACAAGGAGAUCCCAUUGUGCUCCAUCCUCAUACCACUGCUUCUCCUCCCGAGAGCUCAGGACACAAUAGCACAAACAACUAUUUUACAGCCAGAGAACCUUAGGAUACGAGACUUGAAGUCCAGAUUUCAUUAUAACUAACCCCUACUGAUACAAAGAAUGGGUAAAGCCCUUUUGAAACGGCAGGACUCACGCUGUGCCUCUGCACAGAGAUGGCAGCCACCACCAGCUCUGUGCUGCAGGAGAGCUGGAACUGCCAGAACCAAUUCACCCUGUGCCCUGAAGCACCCACCAGCUCUCACUGCACACAGGGAGCAGUGAGGGCAGAAGGGGCUUUGAUGGAGGGGAAGUAGGGUAGGAGCUGGGGCAGCUGGAUGCCCCUCAGUCUUUCCAAAGACACCAAAGGGGCCCUUGGUCAAGUCCAUACCAGUUUCUCCAGCUGCUCAGGGGAGAACUGUGCUGUGUUGCUAGGUUUCAACUUGGGUUUAAUCCUCUCUUUUUUUUUUUUUUUUGUCAGAAAUUCAGGUUUGACACUGAAUUCAAAGGGAUGGGUGCUGCAGAGAAGCAGAGUGCAACCAGGAUGGAGUCAGUGGCCCACCACGCACAGAAGACUGAAGUAUUGAUCCUAAUUAUUACUGAACCCAAAUUAAGACAAAAUCCCUGUCCAUUUGCUGAAUGCAGUUCAUACUAUUCCAAAAGGCCACACUAAGCCCCAGCUCACAGUGGAUUUUCACAGCUCAAGCACAGUGCUGGGCACUCCCAUGGCUCAGGGUAGGAGGGCUCAGUCUGCCCAGGCAUCUCCUCAGCCCCACACCGAUGUGUUGGUACCUAGAUCUAGAGAGUUAGAUAACACAACACAGCAUCUUCAGAUUCACGGUAAUGUGUUGUUUAAGGAGGCCAAAACAUCAAGGGGGACCAGGCAGGACCAGGACCCUCAAAUCCCCAACUUCACUCCCCCCUCCCCCUCCACCAUCCUCUGAAACCAGGACCGCAAAUUGAGCUUAGCCUCUUCCUCCCCCUCCACUCACACCCUCACUCCUUGAAUUAAGAGGAAAGAAAAUGAACGCUGCAUGCUGCAUCCUGCAACUGAGGCACUGUGCAGCACCAUCCCCAGUGGAUGCAGUCCUCUGGAGACUACAAGAAGUCCCAGGGGGGCAUCAGCAGCCGUGGCACAGCAUCCGCAGCACAGCGGAGUACCACUGCUCGCUCUCCAGCCCUAUUUCUGUGUUCCAUGCCAGUUGGCACUGCUGAUUCUGUGGUGCUCUGGAGUACCCUUAUCUCUCCAGGAGAGGCUUUCACCACAGCCCUUGAGCACUAGGAAAUGGAGAUACUCAACUGCUCUACAUCAAUCAGAGGGGGAGGCUGGGAAGGGGAACAGCGUGUCCCCGCCUGUCGCUCCAUGUAAGCUCUGCCCUUCACUGCUGACAGCAGAUUAAUUCCCAGCCAAAGCACAACACCCUCCUGAUGGAGAGGGGAAGCCUUCAAAAAGCAAAGCCUCCCACCCGUGAGUGCCCUGAAGUGGGGGGCGCAGCUAACAGGCAGCACAGGAGUCCCCAGGACGGAGAGUGCUUGGACAACACUGUCCAUUAGUACCUGGGUAUGGGUGGUGCUGCAAACAGAUUUUGCCAGGAAGCCAGUAGUGGCAUCCCCACAGUGCAGCAGGUCUGGGAAUUUGGGGCAUCUGGAGAUGGUCACAGUGCAACGACAACAUGGUUGCGUUAGGGACCACCCCUUUCCCCCCUAGCUCUGUGGCUGGAGGCUGCGAGUGGGCUCCCACCAGCUCCUGCACCCACAGGGAAGCUUUUCCCCAGGCUGCUCAGAUGAGAGCCCAGGGAAAGGGGGAACUGUCUGCCUGUGCCCUGGGCAAGCUGGGCUGCAAUUUCUCUCCUCCCGCAGCCCACGGCACCAGCUGCCCUCCCAGGGGCUGCUCUCCUCCUGGCAUGCUGUGAGUCACGUCUCUGAUGUCACCUCUCCACGUCACUGGAGCUUGGAAAUGGAUUUAAUGAGCCCGUGUUUUCUUCAGCUAAGAAAAACCUCAAAGAGGCUUAUGCUCGAGCACCCUGAGGAGCCAGCAGGGCUCUCUGCAGCUGCCACAGUCCCCACAGGAGGACAGAUAGCUGCACAGUGCUCCAAAGCAGGGCGGUCAGCACCAAAAGCAGAGCGCCAGACAUGCAGGGGACAACGCAUCACAGAGAUGGGAGGAUGUUUGUCCACAAUGCGCCCUUCCACAUUACCACCCUCCUCAUGGGACGUGGCAGGUGAUGCCCUGCAAUGCCUCAUGAUGCUCACGGGGAGGGGACAGCACAGUAGUGGCACCGUGCCCACACUCAGAGGACCCAGCAGCAUCUCUGAGGGCUGCCACACAAUAAGCUGAGGUGGUGGCCAUUGCUCCUCAUGUUCUCCCACUCCCAGACACAUGUGCUGGACCCAUCCCCACAAACAUCUAUCUUAGGCCGCCCAGCAGCUUUUUUAACACCAGUCACAUUGGGGAUGUGAAUCCUGAUUCACAGCAGUAUAGAUUGAAAUGUGAGCCUGUGGUGUUUUCAGAAGAACAAGUCCUUGUAAAGCAGAAGGGAACAAAAUUCAUUAUCAAAAUCAAGGGAAACGAGGAACAUUUGUUCUCUUUUAUGAAGGUCACUAAGAAAGGAAGCCCUACAUGGGGUCCCUGAAAAGCCAGUAGUGUAUGCAGUCAGCAGACAGAGGGCAUCUUCUAUUAAUGAAGGUGCCUCACCAAAAACACAGGCAUCAUAUAAAUUAUCAGAUAAUGAAAUUCCAGUUAAUUUGCUGCCUGGUCAGCUACAGCCCUCCUGCCAUGCUCCUGAGCCCAGCCAAUAACAUUAAGAAAGAAUUACCUUGCUACUAGGGCAGCUGGUGGAAAACCACAUCCCGAUUACUCGAUUCAGAAAACAAUAUCUUCUCCAGGACAAGAGGGGUGGAUGCUGCAGCCCCAUGGCCCUCCACACUGGGUUGACUACACAGGGACAUGUUCCCAACUGAUUCUUGCAGCCCUUUACCUUUUAGCAGCUUUGCUACCAGGAUCUCUUGAUGGGAUCCUUUUGCCCAGUUGCUCAUGGGCAUCCCACCUCACCCACAGCUCCCUGUUCUCUCCUGGGUUUGUGUCUCCUUACCAGAACCCAGAAGAGCAACCAGAGAACAAGGAGAUGGCAUCCACCCCCUUUGCUCAAGUAAGUUCUUGAUCCCAUGGGUAGAAAGAGACUUAAGAAGGGGAAGUUUGGGGGAACCUUCCCCUUCUAAAUAGGCUGUAGUGGUUGAAAGCAAAGACAAGGCUCAGGAAGAGGUCCUACAUCCUCAACAUGGAGUGGGUUUCAAGUACAAACUGCAUUAUAGCUCCUUCCAUUCUCCUUCUCCAUCUGCUGCUCCAAACUAUCAGAGCACCAAGAAUUCAGCAUGCGCCAUGUAAUUUUAAAGCCAUUAUGUAAGCUGCUCUCCCCUCCCCACCUCUCAAUGUCUCCAAUUGGUGUGUCAGAAUGUAAUUAGCUUUUGAUGGGAUGUUAAGAUUUCUUGAGCUCCCGUGGAGAGGUAGCAUGGGGAGAGGCGAGGCAGCGGAUUGUGAUUGUCACUCCCCACAUAAGUGCUCGAAGACCCUGGAAGACUCAUUUACAAAAAUGUAAAAUAAAUAAAUAAAUAAACCUAAAAGCAGCAGACCCAGUAGGCUUCAGCUUAAUUGACUGAAUUUGUGGGUUAUUUAUUUAUUUUUUUACCUCCGCUUGGUGAGAAAUGAGAAUUAACUCUCUCAUAGCCAACGAAGGAGCGCCAUGCUGUGGCAACGGUCAGGGCUCUAUUGCACAUCCCAGUUGGAGAGGCUGGAAGCACUGAGCUGUUGGUUCCUGCCCUUCCAAGCAGUGCCAGCUUUGCUGCUACAACCAACUGCACGAGGACUCCUCCACCAGAUUCAUUACUGAGUCCUCCAGCCCUGCACCACAAAAACACCAGCCCUCCUGCCAGGGCACCCAAGAAGCAGAAAGGUUUGGGCAUGGCCAAGUGUGCUCCCACAGCCCAAAGGUAACACUUGGAAUCCAGAUCCGUGAGUGUUUCGGGGCUAACAGACCCAACUUGAGGUGCUUGUAAUCUGCCAUGGUGCUUUUACAAAAACAAGCUCCUCUUGAUGUCUUGUUGCCAGCCUCCCAGUGCCCCAUACCACAGACCAGUGCUCUCAUGGUCAUACCACACACUCAGACCUUACUUCACACCCUUUCCCCAAUAGCCGACCCACUUGGAGGUACAGAACGAGGCAGGCAAAUCCCCCAGAACAAGUUUUCCACCAUCUGGCUGGGCCUGAACUUUCACAAGAGCAUCUGCCCCAGCCAACAAGCAUUUACGUGCCUACAGAUGGUGCUCAUAUCACCGAGCAGUAUGUUUGUCUACACAUUGACCCUGGCCCGAAGCCCACUGGAGUCAUCAGAUGCUUUUCAUUAACUCCAACAGGCUGUGGAUGGCAGUUUGGUCAGUCUCCACUGGUGCAGGCAGAGGCACUCAAACGAAUCCUGCAGGAUGCUCAAACGUGUGUGCCUCCAGGUCAGCCCAUAGCAGCUUUCCCAAACACAAGCCUGCCACAGACUCCUUCCAAAUGCACGUGGCUGGAUAUAAAUACGCCUCUGUCUCUGAAUUAGGUGAUGAUGUGAAACACAGGCACAUCCAAUACAAUAAUGAGCCAUUCCCAUCAAAUGCCAAUUCAACUGGAUAAUGGGCCAUAUUGAUUGCUUCGAGGACCAGACCAAUUUCACUUGUCCUUUUAAUGAUUAUUAUGACAUUAUCUAUAUUAUUUCUGCUCAGAAAGAUUAAUUCCCCAUUCCCCACCCCAAUCACUCUGGAUGCGAGGCCAUUCAAGUCUCCAUUCUGAACAGAAGCUGAGGAGACCUCUGCAAGGACUGGACUUAAUUCACUUCUGAAGUGUUAUCAGGCAAUUGGAGCUUUUUUCUCUAAUACUGCCACUGGCAUUAAUGGAAAGAAAACAAUAAAUGUAUCUGGUCACCAAGCAGUCAGCCUCCCCUUUCGUAGCUCUACUGACAUUUCUGUUUCCAGCCCAG
This is a long non-coding RNA of Gallus gallus (chicken), 17318 nucleotides long. The record is from Ensembl. Lineage: Eukaryota; Metazoa; Chordata; Aves; Galliformes; Phasianidae.